AAACAUAUUAUCUACUGGUCUUGUUUUGUUUAUACCAUAUGAGCAUGGCAUCCUCAGGUGUUGAAGGAGGAGACAAGUACCGUUCUUAUUUGAGUGGAGAAGGAGAAAAGAACACCAAGUGGAAGUUUGGUGCCCCUCCUAGCUAUGAUAUUGUGAAUAAGCUCUUCGAAGAAGGCAGAACCAAGGUCUCUUUCUCUCUCUCUCUCUCUCUCUCUCUCUCUCUCUCUCUCUGCUAGCUAAUAUCUAUUAAAUUUGUGUGGUGUGUUUUUAAUUCUGGAUGGAACUAUGUAUAUUCAGAUAUGGCCACCUGGGUCACUAGAACAUGAGGUACAGAACCUUGUGAAGACAUGGGAGAUGGAGCUUUUCCAUAAGGCCAACCUUGAUGAUUUCAAGACACUUGAUCCCAAUAAGUACACUUUCAGUCUAAAUGGUAAUAGUGAUAUUUAACUAGUACUAAUUAAUUAAUUAAGCAUUGAAAUAAUCAAUCAUUAAUCAACAAAUAUCAGGAAGGAAAGGCAUAACCCUGGAAGAAAUAGGCAAACUUGGAGGGGGCUACAACCCUUUGCUUCAGACCUCACUGCCUGAGAAUCUGAGAGGAUAUAAUCCUGAUAAGGAAACAGCAGAGUCAUCUCAUAAGGCUUUCACAACAACAUUCCCUCGUGGGUUUGCCUUGGAGGUCCUUCAAGUCUAUUCUGGGCCACCAGAGAUUGUGUACAAAUUCAGGCACUGGGGUUACAUGGAGGGGCCUUUCCAGGGCCAUGCCCCAACUGGAGAAUUGGUUGAAGUCUAUGGAAUGUCCAUUUUUACGGUACUUUGUCCAUUUCUUUUAAGUUUUAAUUAAUUAAUUAAUUAAUUAAUUGUUUUUCCCAAGUUUAUGUAUUACUAAUUCCUUUUCGGUAAGUUGUAACCCUCCACGUUACCCUCUAUGUGGCCCAAAUAGGUGGAUGAGCACAACAAAAUUGUGAAGGUGGAGUUCUUUUACGACCCUGGACAACUGCUUGGAGGUCUUUUGAAGGGUGAAAAAUUGGGUACUUCUUCCCAGGAGACAGCCUCAAGCUGCCCUGUCCUUAGGAGUACAGGGUAGUUCAUAAAACUGCUUCCUAAAACUUAAUUGUAGGCUUCUUAUAUACACAGGCAUAUACGUUUAGCCGAUCAAAUUCCCGUAGAUCGGCUCUUUGUUAUAUGUUUAUGUGUGCUAUUCCACAUAUGAACUGAAUAAUGUUAUCAAUUGCGAUAUAUAAAUCUCUCCAACAAUUAAUAGC
Molecule: long non-coding RNA, 1262 nt
Filed under: Prunus dulcis (almond)
Lineage: Eukaryota; Viridiplantae; Streptophyta; Magnoliopsida; Rosales; Rosaceae
Description: sRNA ncRNA
Source: RNAcentral